RNAcentral lists this ribosomal RNA (506 nucleotides) under uncultured bacterium. Its description in RNAcentral is "partial 16S ribosomal RNA". It matches the Rfam family "Bacterial small subunit ribosomal RNA", at positions 29 to 523 of the family's 1533-position model. The record is from RNAcentral.
AGUGAACGCUGGCGGUAGGCCUAACACAUGCAAGUCGAACGGCAGCACAGGAGAGCUUGCUCUCUGGGUGGCGAGUGGCGGACGGAUGAGGAAUACAUCGGAAUCUACUUUUUCGUGGGGGAUAACGUAGGGAAACUUACGCUAAUACCGCAUACGACCUACGGGUGAAAGCAGGGGACCUUCGGGCCUUGCGCGAUUGAAUGAGCCGAUGUCGGAUUAGCUAGUUGGCGGGGUAAAGGCCCACCAAGGCGACGAUCCGUAGCUGGUCUGAGAGGAUGAUCAGCCACACUGGAACUGAGACACGGUCCAGACUCCUACGGGAGGCAGCAGUGGGGAAUAUUGGACAAUGGGCGCAAGCCUGAUCCAGCCAUACCGCGUGGGUGAAGAAGGCCUUCGGGUUGUAAAGCCCUUUUGCUGGGAAAGAAAUCCAGCUGGUUAAUACCCGGUUGGGAUGACGGUACCCAAAGAAUAAGCACCGGCUAACUUCGUGCCAGCAGCCGCGGUAA